UAAAAGUUAACAAUCUUCGCAUUCAACUGUAGCAAACAUGAAUUUAUAACACAAGUUACGCAAUAUGAUGAAAGAACUCCAUGUCUUGUUCUACCUUAUUACAUCACCUGAAUCGGAAUACAAGCAGCAGCUAGGAGCUUCUCUCAGCAUUCAUUCCUCAGAUUUCUAGUGAGAGGGCUCAUGCUCAUGCUCCUGCCCAUUCCCAUGCCCAUGAGAGUGAUCAUCAUGUCCCUCCCAAGGAUGGCGCCACCCCAAAAUUACGGGACCAUCUUGUUUAGCCCUAUACAGAACCCAAAACCACAUGACGGCGCAGAGGCCCUUGCCGGUGACGACAUGCCAGCGCUUCGGCGCCGGAAUCGUGUAGCCCUUGUAGGUCGUGCCGCCGUGACCAGCUCCUCCACCGCCCAUCGCCGCCGCCGUCUUUGCUCGCUCUCUCUGGAUCGAUCGAUCUGGGCUGG
RNAcentral lists this unclassified non-coding RNA (458 nucleotides) under Hevea brasiliensis (rubber tree). Lineage: Eukaryota; Viridiplantae; Streptophyta; Magnoliopsida; Malpighiales; Euphorbiaceae. The record is from RNAcentral.